This 1865-nucleotide long non-coding RNA is filed under the name Sitophilus oryzae (rice weevil). RNAcentral describes it as "uncharacterized LOC115884735, transcript variant X1". Lineage: Eukaryota; Metazoa; Arthropoda; Insecta; Coleoptera; Curculionidae. The record is from RNAcentral.
CAGUGUCAAUACUGUCGAUAAACAGCUGAUUGGCAUGAUCAGCUGUUUGCCGUGCUUUUAUUUUUCCAUAUUUCUUAACUAUUAAUAAACUAUUAAUGUAUAAUUGUUUCAUUUUAUAUAAAAGACCAAAAUUAGCAUUUAAAAUGGGUCUACACUGGCAAAAUGUGAGAGAAUAAAAGAAUUUAAACAUCGUCAUUUCAAAAAUUUCUAAAAGAUAGUGAGAGAAAAAUUAAAUGGUUUUCUCUGUUAGGAUUUAUUCAUAGCAUAAUAUUAAAAAGUCGAGCAAAAGAGAACUCAAGAACAGCUGAUUUUUUUUAUAAGGAAUUGAAGAAAAUAUUUAAAAUCUGAUGAUUUUCACAGCCAUUUAUGUCGCGAUUUGUGGUCUUUCAGUUGUUUCAACAUCACCUAGGAAAUUAACAUUAAGAUAUCAGGAUCCUGCAUAUAACGAGAUAAGAACUAUGAUCUUGUUAGGAUACCUAUUCCGUCACAAUAUGAAGUGAAGAUAUUCAUGGUGUGGAAGUCGUUACUUUAAUUACAUAGUGCAUAUGAAAUUGGUCCUUUACAUCAUGUUUAAAAUUGACGUAAUGCUACUAUGCAAAAUAGUGAGAGAUGUGAACCCUAGGCAGAGCUACAGAAUUACUUUUGUUGAGAGACAAAUUAUGAUAGUGAUUAGAAUCGCAUAUUCUAGACUUUUACUUAAAAAAUGAUUUGUUCGGAAUGAACUUUUAUAGUGUGGAGGAAUACCUGCAAAUUAUAAUAUGAGGCCUACGUAUAUGAUAAUUUUAUUAUGAUCUGUUGUGUUUGUUUUUUUAUAUUUUGUAUUAUAUAUUUGUGUUAGCUUUAAGAAUUUAUUGACUAUUCCUAUACAAUUGUACAUUGUUUUAUGGAAAUAAAUAAAUGAUUGAUUGAUUGAAUAAGUUAGGAAACCAUACGAUCGAGAAAAAAACGGCUUCAAAGGCGACUGGGGAAUGAAAAUAUGAUAAUUUCAGUGAGGUCAAGCCCUAGAAGUCAUUUUCUUGGCUCGUACUAUUUUUUAAAGGCGCUCUAAGGUUGUAAUUUAUUUUUACAUUAAGUAAAUAUGAUUUUUAAAUGGUGUAGUUUAAGAUUGACCUCGCUAAAUUAUCAAUCGUCAUUCCUCAGCCGCCUUUGACGCCGUUUUUUUUAGACUAUUUGCUAUAACUAUGUUAUCUGUUAUGCAAAUACAUAUGUCAACAAGUAAAAAGCCAAUGAGAAAUUAGUUUCUGCUUGGAUCCUUACAGUGGCAUUUAACAAAAUAUAUAUUUUUUCAGGUUACAAUAUUUUAUUUAAUAUGAACCUGUAAAUGUAAGAAUAUUAUACAUAUAUUAUAUUUUUUACUCAGUCCCUAAAUAUAUUAUUAAAAUACAACACUUGUGUUUUUUAUUAAUAUCGUGUUAUGAUUAAUACCUAAUUAAUGUAAAAUUAUAUGGUAUGUAAAUAUCCUUACACUGAGAAUUCGUUUGGUCAAAAUAUUACUCUCUUACUAAUAUGAAUUUGAAAACUACAGAACAUUGUUUUUUUUUAGUUUUUGUGCUAAUAUUUCCACUUAAAAUUACCGAAUAUAUUUAUGGUAUAGGUAGGAAAAGAUGAAUUUUGUGCUUUUUAAUUAUACAUUAUAUUAAUUAUAUUAUUAUUGUAAAUAAUAUCUACUGAUAUUUAAUAUAAAAAAUAGUUAUUCACAUGCAUCUAUUUUUCUUUUGUAAUUAAUACUAUCUAAAUAACAAGACAUCUUAUAUAAUAGAUCCAUUAACAUUUUAGUUUAUCAAUUAUCAAUCACUAUACGAUAUACAAUACGUAUAAUAUCUUUUAAUUAUAUCUAACUUUUAAUUAUUGAAUAUUUAAUAAAC